GCCUUCUUAGCUCAGCUGGUAGAGCAACUGACGUAAUCAGUAGGUCAUUGGUUCGAUCCCGAUAGAAGGCU
RNAcentral lists this transfer RNA (71 nucleotides) under Pedobacter sp. IW39. Its description in RNAcentral is "tRNA-Tyr". It matches the Rfam family "tRNA". From Rfam's summary of the family: Transfer RNA (tRNA) molecules are approximately 80 nucleotides in length. Lineage: Bacteria; Pseudomonadati; Bacteroidota; Sphingobacteriia; Sphingobacteriales; Sphingobacteriaceae. The record is from RNAcentral.